ACUCGGGAAGAGCGGAUGGGGGAAUGGAAAGCCCCCAUCGAGACGGUACCGAGAGAGGAAGCCCCGGCUAACUACGUGCCAGCAGCCGCGGUAAUACGUAGGGGGCAAGCGUUGUCCGGAAUCACUGGGCGUAAAGCGUGCGUAGGCGGUGGCGUGUGUCUGGGGUGAAAGACCAGGGCUCAACCCUGGGAUUGCCUGAGAAACUGCGCGACUUGAGUGCUGGAGAGGCAAGGGGAAUUCCGCGUGUAGCGGUGGAAUGCGUAGAUAUGCGGAGGAAUACCAGUGGCGAAGGCGCCUUGCUGGACAGUGACUGACGCUGAGGCACGAAAGCGUGGGGAGCAAACA
This 345-nucleotide ribosomal RNA is filed under the name uncultured bacterium. Its description in RNAcentral is "bacterial SSU rRNA". It matches the Rfam family "Bacterial small subunit ribosomal RNA", at positions 438 to 774 of the family's 1533-position model. The record is from RNAcentral.